AAAUUGAAGAGUUUGAUCAUGGCUCAGAUUGAACGCUGGCGGCAGGCCUAACACAUGCAAGUCGAGCGGAAACGAGUUAUCAGAACCUUCGGGGGACGAUAACGGCGUCGAGCGGCGGACGGGUGAGUAAUGCCUAGGAAAUUGCCCUGAUGUGGGGGAUAACCAUUGGAAACGAUGGCUAAUACCGCAUGAUGCCUACGGGCCAAAGAGGGGGACCUUCGGGCCUCUCGCGUCAGGAUAUGCCUAGGUGGGAUUAGCUAGUUGGUGAGGUAAGGGCUCACCAAGGCGACGAUCCCUAGCUGGUCUGAGAGGAUGAUCAGCCACACUGGAACUGAGACACGGUCCAGACUCCUACGGGAGGCAGCAGUGGGGAAUAUUGCACAAUGGGCGCAAGCCUGAUGCAGCCAUGCCGCGUGUGUGAAGAAGGCCUUCGGGUUGUAAAGCACUUUCAGUCGUGAGGAAGGUAGUGUAGUUAAUAGCUGCAUUAUUUGACGUUAGCGACAGAAGAAGCACCGGCUAACUCCGUGCCAGCAGCCGCGGUAAUACGGAGGGUGCGAGCGUUAAUCGGAAUUACUGGGCGUAAAGCGCAUGCAGGUGGUUUGUUAAGUCAGAUGUGAAAGCCCGGGGCUCAACCUCGGAAUUGCAUUUGAAACUGGCAGACUAGAGUACUGUAGAGGGGGUAGAAUUUCAGGUGUAGCGGUGAAAUGCGUAGAGAUCUGAAGGAAUACCGGUGGCGAAGGCGGCCCCCUGGACAGAUACUGACACUCAGAUGCGAAAGCGUGGGGAGCAAACAGGAUUAGAUACCCUGGUAGUCCACGCCGUAAACGAUGUCUACUUGGAGGUUGUGGCCUUGAGCCGUGGCUUUCGGAGCUAACGCGUUAAGUAGACCGCCUGGGGAGUACGGUCGCAAGAUUAAAACUCAAAUGAAUUGACGGGGGCCCGCACAAGCGGUGGAGCAUGUGGUUUAAUUCGAUGCAACGCGAAGAACCUUACCUACUCUUGACAUCCAGAGAACUUUCCAGAGAUGGAUUGGUGCCUUCGGGAACUCUGAGACAGGUGCUGCAUGGCUGUCGUCAGCUCGUGUUGUGAAAUGUUGGGUUAAGUCCCGCAACGAGCGCAACCCUUAUCCUUGUUUGCCAGCGAGUAAUGUCGGGAACUCCAGGGAGACUGCCGGUGAUAAACCGGAGGAAGGUGGGGACGACGUCAAGUCAUCAUGGCCCUUACGAGUAGGGCUACACACGUGCUACAAUGGCGCAUACAGAGGGCGGCCAACUUGCGAAAGUGAGCGAAUCCCAAAAAGUGCGUCGUAGUCCGGAUUGGAGUCUGCAACUCGACUCCAUGAAGUCGGAAUCGCUAGUAAUCGUGGAUCAGAAUGCCACGGUGAAUACGUUCCCGGGCCUUGUACACACCGCCCGUCACACCAUGGGAGUGGGCUGCAAAAGAAGUAGGUAGUUUAACCUUCGGGGGGACGCUUACCACUUUGUGGUUCAUGACUGGGGUGAAGUCGUAACAAGGUAGCGCUAGGGGAACCUGGCGCUGGAUCACCUCCUUA
Molecule: ribosomal RNA, 1552 nt
Filed under: Vibrio parahaemolyticus
Lineage: Bacteria; Pseudomonadati; Pseudomonadota; Gammaproteobacteria; Vibrionales; Vibrionaceae
Description: bacterial SSU rRNA
Rfam family: Bacterial small subunit ribosomal RNA
Source: RNAcentral